Small nuclear RNA from Heterocephalus glaber (naked mole-rat), 103 nucleotides. The record is from Ensembl. Lineage: Eukaryota; Metazoa; Chordata; Mammalia; Rodentia; Bathyergidae.
UCGCUUCAGCAGCUAAUAUUCUACAACUGGAAGGAUGCAGAGAAGAUUAGCAUGGCCCCUGCGCCAGGAUGACACACAAAUUCGUGAAGCGUUCCAUAUUUUU